This 838-nucleotide ribosomal RNA is filed under the name Fusarium flocciferum. RNAcentral describes it as "partial large subunit ribosomal RNA". It matches the Rfam family "Eukaryotic large subunit ribosomal RNA", at positions 69 to 937 of the family's 3401-position model. The record is from RNAcentral. Lineage: Eukaryota; Fungi; Ascomycota; Sordariomycetes; Hypocreales; Nectriaceae. RNAcentral also lists the same sequence under 1 other name.
CAGGGAUUGCCCUAGUAACGGCGAGUGAAGCGGCAACAGCUCAAAUUUGAAAUCUGGCUUUCGGGCCCGAGUUGUAAUUUGUAGAGGAUACUUUUGAUGCGGUGCCUUCCGAGUUUCCUGGAACGGGACGCCAUAGAGGGUGAGAGCCCCGUCUGGUUGGAUGCCAAAUCUCUGUAAAGUUCCUUCGACGAGUCGAGUAGUUUGGGAAUGCUGCUCUAAAUGGGAGGUAUAUGUCUUCUAAAGCUAAAUAUUGGCCAGAGACCGAUAGCGCACAAGUAGAGUGAUCGAAAGAUGAAAAGCACUUUGAAAAGAGAGUUAAAAAGUACGUGAAAUUGUUGAAAGGGAAGCGUUUAUGACCAGACUUGGACUUGGUUAAUCAUCUGGGGUUCUCCCCAGUGCACUUUUCCAGUUCAGGCCAGCAUCAGUUUUCGCCGGGGGAUAAAGGCAGCGGGAAUGUGGCUCUCUUCGGGGAGUGUUAUAGCCCGUUGUGUAAUACCCUGGUGGGGACUGAGGUUCGCGCUUCUGCAAGGAUGCUGGCGUAAUGGUCAUCAACGACCCGUCUUGAAACACGGACCAAGGAGUCGUCUUCGUAUGCGAGUGUUCGGGUGUCAAACCCCUACGCGUAAUGAAAGUGAACGCAGGUGAGAGCUUCGGCGCAUCAUCGACCGAUCCUGAUGUUCUCGGAUGGAUUUGAGUAAGAGCAUACGGGGCCGGACCCGAAAGAAGGUGAACUAUGCCUGUAUAGGGUGAAGCCAGAGGAAACUCUGGUGGAGGCUCGCAGCGGUUCUGACGUGCAAAUCGAUCGUCAAAUAUGGGCAUGGGGGCGAAAGACUAAUCG